This 526-nucleotide long non-coding RNA is filed under the name Erythranthe guttata (spotted monkey flower). Its description in RNAcentral is "long non-coding RNA (EGUT_LNC000002)". The record is from RNAcentral. Lineage: Eukaryota; Viridiplantae; Streptophyta; Magnoliopsida; Lamiales; Phrymaceae.
AGGGAUGAUGUUGAUGCUGGAACAGCUUAUUCACCCGAUGAUCAAAAGAGAUUCCCAGAAAACUAGGACCUGAGAGAGUCCCCGUUGGGAGGCGAAUAAGAGAUUCAGUUCUGUCUACUUGUGGUGUGCAUGACCCGAACAAGGAGAUGUCUAGCCAAUCAGAGGAGUUGUUGCACAGCGUCCAGGGGCUUCCACGCCAGGAAAGAGAAAAUGUCUUUCUUGAUCUCAUUUCCGGGUUCUAUAGCUAUAUGCUUCACUUUGGAGAUUGCAUCAAAGGCCAAAAAAUGGGAAGAGGAAAAGAAGAAUAUGUGAGACGAUCAGGAGGACGAGAGAUAAGAGAGGAGCGACGUACCUAAAAAGAAAGACUCGUCUAUCCGCUAGUUCCAUUUCCUUCUCAAUGCCCGGAUCGGCAUGGAUUACAAAGUGGAUUUCUCCCUGUCGAUUGACAUGGCUGGAAUAAGGAAAGGCGGAUAAAAAACAGGAUUGUCUCCGCUCUACUGUGGGUGGCAGAGUAAGAACAUGUGGG